UAAUUGAUAUUUAUCUUCCUCUCAAAUUUUCACCUUCAUCAUUAAAAAAAGAUAAAUGAAUACAAUUUGUGUUUAUAUAAUCUGUAUAAAAAUAAGUUAUAUAUAUAUUAUAUAUAUAGUCAAAGUUCAGGUUUGAAAUAUUAAAAUCAUAAUUAUGUUUUUAAAAAAAUAUUCUUAUUUUUAUUUUUUCAUGAAAUGAAGGACAAAAUUACAUAGAAAAUACUUCCUUAGUUUUAUGUGAUAAAACUUUAUUUGAUAGAACCCACCUUUGUAAAGAUUUUUAUUUUCAUAAUGAACAUUCUCCUUUUUCCUUAGUGCUCAAAUAGUUGAUGUAUAAACUUAAAAAAUGCAUUUUUGUCAAAUCAUGAAAUUAGAUACUCAUGUUUAGUUGAGAAUAUGUGAUCAUUUGUGAGUGAGUUGGAAACACUUGCUCUAGUCAAGAGAGAUUUUUGCCAAGUUUCAUAUGAUUAAAAGCACAGGAACAAAAAUUUUGUUAAAUAUGAUUUUCUGUUUUGUUUUUGUAUGUUUUUAUUGUACUGCUUUUUUGUAAAUGAAAUAUUAAUGGGAAGUGAAGAAUAUAUGUGUAUUUAUAAGACUGAUUAAAUCAAUUUAAGAUUAUUAUGUAAUUAUGAAAUAUGAAAAGUAUAAAGCCAAGUUUAUUAUACAAAACAACUACAGCAAAUAAAAGUUAAAAUUAAAUUGAAGAAUGCAUGGCAUUGUUCAAUGCCACAUUGCAUAAGUGUCUUAAAAAAAGCAUUAAUAGUCUAUCCUAUGUUGAAGCAAUUUUGUUUGUUAAUUUAGGUUAAAUGAUAAAUAGAUUAUUUCAAAGUUAUUUAAUUCUUAUCACAAACUAUAUUAAAAAAAAAAGAAUAUGAAUUGCAAAUAAUUCUUCUAAUUAAAAAUGAAAUGUAUACUGCUGAUAUAAAUUAUUAUACAUAUGUAUUUAGAAUAUUGAACCAAUAAUUAUCUAAAAUAUUAAAUGUGAUAAUAAAAAUUCUCAGAACCAAGUUGAAAGACUGAAAAUAUGAAAUGAAAUAUUUGCUGAUUAAGGGGAGAUAAAUCCUAAUGAUUUUUAGUGCAAUUAAACAAAAUGUACAGAUUUAUGAUAUGAGUUUGUGUAUUUGUAUAUUGAAAUGACAUUUGUAGAUAUACAGUUGACUAUGCAAAAGCUUAAUUAUUUAUACAUACAUGUAGCUUUUAUUUUGUAAUCUUUGUUUUGUAAUUGUAUCAAACUUUCAAGUAUUAAAAAUUAUAGAAUUAAAAAAAGUCUGCACUUCGAAAAAUAAUCUUGAUUUUUCAUUUUUUUUUUUAUCAAAAAUAAAAAUACAAAGAUCUUGUGUUAUGGAAAUAAAUAGUAUGUACAUUUUUUGUCAAGCAUCCAGUUCCUUCUUAAGUUGAUAUUUUCAGAUUUUCUUCAUGUUCGAAAUUUAAGAAAUUUAAGAGGCAUCAUUCAAUGAUUUAAGUAAUUUGUUUAACAGAUCUAUAGAAGUUUGCUUUAAGAAAUCAAAGAAAUUCCUCAGGUUUUUGUAUUUUUUAAUAAUUUUGCACAAAAAAUAUAAAAGUUCUUACUAUUUGAUCAACAAAUCAUGCAGAGUUGUCUAAAAUGAUACAUAAAAAUGAAAUAAGAAGUUUCUUAUUUUAACCUGCAAUUCUUUAGCUCUUUCUACAAACAUGUCAAAUAAGCAAAUACCAUUUAGCUGCUCUUUGAUAAAAUAUCCCUGCCACAGACAUUAGAAUAAUGUUAAAUGUGAUCCUCGCUAACAAAACUUUGAAAUAUUUUACAAUAAAUACAUUUAAAUGUAAAUCUAUUCAUUAAAAAAGGGGGAUAAUGUAUGUUUAAUCAUAUUUUGAAGUAAGAUAUUUUAAUAUUUACUACAUAAUAAAUAUGUUGGUAUUUUUAUAUCUUUAUCAAACUCGAUAAAGCAUGAAAAGCAUAAUUGUACCUACUUAAUAAUCCAUCCCCUUAGUGCUUACAAUUUAUCCUAAAAAAUUGACAUCAACUGUUACCGUAGUUACCAUAGACUUGCUAGAAAAAUAUAUAAGUUACUAAAUUCGUGAAUUUCAAAACUAAAUCUUGUUUAUCAAAAUUAUCUGAAAUUGUGAAAGUGUUGAAAAUAUUGAAAGAUUUAUUGUUGUUGCAUCAUGUCUCAAAAUACAACACGGUGCUUUAUGCAUGUAAACAGUUGUCUUGGCAAUAAAUUUAUUAAAAAUC
Molecule: long non-coding RNA, 2212 nt
Filed under: Mytilus galloprovincialis (Mediterranean mussel)
Lineage: Eukaryota; Metazoa; Mollusca; Bivalvia; Mytilida; Mytilidae
Source: RNAcentral